Molecule: ribosomal RNA, 301 nt
Filed under: uncultured bacterium
Lineage: Bacteria
Description: partial 16S ribosomal RNA
Rfam family: Bacterial small subunit ribosomal RNA
Source: RNAcentral
CAGUAGCCGCGGGAAUACGAAGGGGGCUAGCGUUGUUCGGAUUUACUGGGCGUAAAGCGCACGUAGGCGGAUAUUUAAGUCAGGGGUGAAAUCCUGGAGCUCAACUCCAGAACUGCCUUUGAUACUGGGUAUCUAGAGUCCGGAAGAGGUGAGUGGAACUCCUAGUGUAGAGGUGGAAUUCGUAGAUAUUCGGAGAAACAUCAGUGGCGAAGGCGGCCAUCUGGGACAACACUGACGCUGAAGCACGAAAGCGUGGGGAGCAAACAGGAUUAGAUACCCCUGUAGUCCCUGUCUCUUAUAC